Long non-coding RNA from Capra hircus (goat), 1107 nucleotides. RefSeq lists it as uncharacterized. NCBI's taxonomy places the organism in Eukaryota, Metazoa, Chordata, Mammalia, Artiodactyla, Bovidae. The record is from RefSeq and is a predicted model, not a curated record. The transcript is spliced from 4 exons.
GAAGAGAAAGGGGAGGAGGGAGGAAGGGAGGAUGGGAGGCAGGCAGGAAGUAAGGCAGGAAGGAAGGGAAACCAGGAGACUGAAGGCUGGGAAGUGAACCAAGGGGACACCCAGGAGGAAGCCCCAGGAGGAGUGCGGUUUCUGUCCUCAGCAAGGCUUCCGCUGUUGUCAUACUGAUUAAACAAGUGACUCUAGAAAGCACUCAUCAACGUGCCUGACACACAGUGACUGCUUGGUGACUGGGAAUAUUUCUGCAUCUCUUCAGAGAUCUUCUCGCUCAACCCCCACCCUCAGCAGCAAGCCUCUUUAGACAAUUACAGCUGACUCUCCAGUUAGACCUCCCGAUGGGGCCGCUCCGGGCCCCACAGGGCUAAGCGUCAUACGGGCGUUCCUGCAGCCACCGUCUUCCCAGAUUGCGGACCUCCAAGGGGCCCGCCUCUGGGAGCAUUCAGUCCCCUCUUAGGCUACAGAUGGGACAACUGAGUCUGUGAGAAUGCCCAGGGUCACCUAGGGAGCUCACAGCUGACUUGGGCCUGAACCUGGGUUCUACACCUUUACAUGCAUCCUUUGUCUUCUGUUGAGCCAAGUCCCUGUCAUCCUUAGUGCAUGCCCGGCCCAGAUGUCACUUCCUCUCUGAGAUCUGGCUCUGACUUUCCAGGCAGGGUGACCAAUGGACCAAUUUUCCUGUGACUGUCCUGGCUGCAGCACAGAAUGUUCCACAACCAAGCCAGGAUGGUUGGUCACCCUAUUUCCAGGUCAAAAUGAUUCCACCUCUUUCUGUGCUCCCAGAAUAUCCAAGGAUAACAGAUAAUAUUUAUUGACCCACUCUCCCAUUGUCCUAAGCACUCAACAGGGAUUCCCUGGUUUUACCCUCAUAAUAACAGUAAAGUAAAUACGAUUAUCCCCAUUUGGCGGAUGAAAAGAAGAAGGCAGAGAGAGGCGAAAAGGCAAGCCCAGCUGAGAGGGGCAGAGCCAGGAUUGAACCAUUCAGACUCUAGCUCCAGAGGCAGGGCUCUUAGCCACUGGGUUAUCAGGCCCUCUCUUGGAGGGUUCCUCUUGUGGUUGGUAUACAAGGCUGUCACCUUGGGACUUCCCUGGUGGUCCAGU